AAAAAUAAAAGCCACCAAUUCCAUUCUAUGCAUACAAUUCCAACAACUAAAACAAACACAUAUUUGCUAUAAACCAGCAGCAUUACACAUCAUUACUAAUCCAAGAUUUAUAAUAAACCAGCGGCAUUAGAGCACAUCCUGUAAGAGCAUACAGAAUUGUCAUGGUUUUCAGGCCUUCAAUUAAAACACCUACACUUCUUGCCAAGUCACUUACUCCCAGCUAGUGCAAACACAGUUACAAGCAAACCAAAAUGCAUAAAAACACCAAACAACGGCAUCUCUCCAAAUGAUCCGCUCCCUCUACAUCAUUGCAAGCAUCUUCACGAUAAGCAAGUCCCUAGGAAAAAGUCAACUUAGCAUGUGCUCCCUCUGUCAACUCUCCAGAGUAGAUUUUAUCCAUUGCCCUGGCCAUGUUCAAGAAACACUAAAUUAAGAAUAUUUCUACUCUAAAUAUAGGAGGCACCAGGACAGAAAACAAAAGAUGAGCAAUAUCAUAUGAGCAGAAUAAAAAGGAGUUUGGACCAUAGCAUGGUUAACAAUAAAAUAUAGUGCUCUAACAAAAGCAAGAGUGCAACACGUUGCCAUGUUCCCUUUGAAAUAUCAACACACUAAAAAAGGCAAUAAACAUAAACUGUAUUUCUUAUAAAAACUUUAGACAUGUUCAGGAAACACAUGUAGUUAACGACAAGUACAUAUCACCCAUCUUAUAGAUUCAAAGACAGAUAACAAAAAUUAACUAGACAAAGUUAGAUGACAGUGAAGCUUAAAGUUGCAGUAAGAAAUAUUAGAUAUACACAUUUUGAAAAUCAACCUCGGUGGAACAACAUAAGAUUGCAUUUAGAUUUCCGAAUUAAACAUAUGCAUAUCUCAUAGUUUAAAAUAAAGGCACUCAACAGAAAAGUGCAUAAAAGAUUUCAAAAUAACUCAACAAGCUGCUUCAGCUAGCAUCAUAGGAGGGGAUGUACAUGUAUAAAAAUUGAGAGACCAAAGACCAAAGGACCUUGUUGCACUGUGCAGUCUCUUUUUCUUCUCUCUGCGAGAAUUUGUGCCGUCUCUUUGCGCUGUGCAGCGUAGCAUGCAGCCUGAUGUUGCUGAACCUGUGAUGUUGCUGAACAUAGGAAUAUGCUUCUUUAGCUGAUCAUUUAUUCCUGCAUAAGCUGGAAUUUUGGUUUGGUGGAACUUGACUUGCACAAAUGUCUGAACCUAACCUCAUAUGGAGUACUACACUACACGUAAAAUAUAGGUCAAGGAUACUUCUUGGCUUUUAAGAGCUUCUAGUAACCAGACCAAGUGAAUUUUUCAGAUUCAAAUGAGCAGUAAAUAAAAUACAGGGAUUCAUCCCACCAAAAAGAUCUAAAACUACACAGCAUUGCAAAAUCAUGAACAGACAAAGAACAGAGCAAAGAAUUUACUGUAAGUCAGAGAGAAUUCCGACAUUUUUCUAGUAACCACACCAAACUGAAUUUGUCAGAUUCAAACAAUUGCUAGAUACAACGAUUCAUCCCACCAUGCAGAUGUAAAACUCCAUAGCAUAUUAAAAUCAUGAACAAACUCCAUAGCAUAGUACGACAUGCAGUUAGUUAAUUAUUUGCAUGUCAACAGUUCUAACCUCUAGCUACAGAUCUUCAAACUAAAGAUUGUGAACUCUAUUAGACAUGAUUAUAUCAAUUAGACCAAAUAGAAAAUAAUUCAAUAUGUUGUAUAUCCGUUAAACAAAGUUCAAUCUAUCUUCUGAUUAUUAGUGUUUCAGUUAGGUGACUAGUCCUUCUAGGGCCGCCGGUUAAUAGGUGAGCCAUGACUUUUUACAGUAAAAAAUGCAAAGGAAAUAGCAGGUUACUCCAUUGAUCCAACUAGUAGUGAAUGAGCUAGUGUAGGUUACUUCAUUGAAUGAACCCAGCUGGUGUAUAUAUAUGGACGCAGCCACCACCAGUGGAUAUAAGUUCUAGUCAAAUCAGACUCACCUAUUAACCGACUUGGACAACAAAUUCCUAAUCCUGGUAUUAUACUCCUACCAACGCAGCUAGAUAGCUAGGACAAGUCCUAGUCGGACUCAAGUUAGUAUUUUUCCUAAUCUAAUUAUACGGCCACGUUGAUCACACCUUACUAAUUCUGGCUGGACACUAGUAACACAAGAAAAGCAAAUCGACUCAAGCUAGUUUUCCUAGACUACUACACCGAUGUAGAUUUGUAGACUAAUAAGUUUGGAUUAAGCUAACAAUGUUUACUGCUACUGUACGCAGCCAGGGUAAUGACCAGACCAGCAUGUGCACGCAGGGAGGGAGGGGCCGGGGUUACCUGCAGCUGCAGGAAGAUGGGUGGGAGGGCGCAACAUUCAAGGAAAGGAAGGUCCGUCCAUGGCUUGCUUCCUCCUCAGGUGGUUGUCGGACGAAUCCUCGGGUCGGUCUAGGGUUUUCUUCUCCUGCA
RNAcentral lists this long non-coding RNA (2424 nucleotides) under Triticum aestivum (bread wheat). RNAcentral describes it as "long non-coding RNA (TAES_LNC025842)". Lineage: Eukaryota; Viridiplantae; Streptophyta; Magnoliopsida; Poales; Poaceae. The record is from RNAcentral.